UAAGCGGUGGUAUUGUCAAGCGGCGGUGUUGUCGCCGAAACAAAAUCCUCACCUCUCUCACUUGAGUAUCUUACCUAGUUAUUUUCUGGUCUCAUUUUGCUCUUUUGUAGCUUUGGCAAGUGUGUGUUUCCCAUCCCAGUUUGCUCCUGUAGGUUUUACAGAUACUCUCCACCCUGUGGCUGCAACCCUUCUCAUUUAGUCUACCCUGCGCGCACAACCCAUGUGGAAUUCCUAGUCUUCAGCAGCAUUUGGAACUGCUGAUCUGCGGUCAAUAAGUCUGAGUUCAUCUCAGGCUUAUUGCCCUUCAGUCCCUACACUUUUUGGCCCUGACGGAGACAUGGAUUACACCAGAGAACACUGCUCCAGUAUGGGAUCACAAGGAUGACAGAACUACUUCCCUCUGCUAAAACCAGAGCCGCCAUGACCAUUGGCUGGAUUGUUCCAUCAAUCGAAUUUCAGGAAGUAGCUACCCACAUGAGCAAGAGAGGAUGAGGUGGAGAGUGAGUAAGAUCACUGGAAAGCAGAAUGCUACCACACCACCACAGGACCCUAGACUUAUUACAGCCAAUGCUUAUGAACUGGAUAUUGUAUGUGAAUUGCAUUUAUAUCAAUGACACUAACAAAAUGGUUGGAUUGUUCAGCAACAUGUGCAGUAAAUGCUAAUAUGGCUUUGGUGAUGAAAGGUACAUCAUGUAUUUGUCAUCUCCCUAUCAGGGCCUUCGGAAAGUAUUCAGACCCCUUGACAUUUUCCACAUUUUGCUAUGUUACAGCCUUAUUCUAAAAUGGAUUAAAAAAAAAAUAAUCCUCAUCAAUCUACACACAAUACCCCAUAUUGACAAAACAAAAUCAGGUUUUAUAAAUUUUGCAAAUUUAUAUAAAAAUAAAAAAACAGGAAUGUUACUUACAUGAAAAUUCAGACCCUUUGCUAUGAGACUCGAAAUUGAGCUCAGGUGCAUCCAGUUUCCAUUGAUCAUCCUCGAUGUUUCUACAACUUUGGAGUCCUCCUGUGGUAAAAUUCAAUUGAUGUGACAUGAUUUGGAAAGGCACACACAUGUCUAUAUAAGGUCCCACAAUUGACAGUGCAUAUCAGAGCAAAA
Molecule: long non-coding RNA, 1097 nt
Organism: Salvelinus namaycush (lake trout)
Lineage: Eukaryota; Metazoa; Chordata; Actinopteri; Salmoniformes; Salmonidae
Exons: 3
Source: RefSeq, a predicted model, not a curated record